This 402-nucleotide ribosomal RNA is filed under the name uncultured Phaeospirillum sp. RNAcentral describes it as "bacterial SSU rRNA". It matches the Rfam family "Bacterial small subunit ribosomal RNA", at positions 355 to 774 of the family's 1533-position model. The record is from RNAcentral. RNAcentral also lists the same sequence under 1 other name. Lineage: Bacteria; Pseudomonadati; Pseudomonadota; Alphaproteobacteria; Rhodospirillales; Rhodospirillaceae.
UGGGGAAUAUUGGACAAUGGGCGAAAGCCUGAUCCAGCCAUGCCGCGUGAGUGAUGAAGGCCUUAGGGUUGUAAAGCUCUUUCGCCAGGGAAGAUAAUGACGGUACCUGGAAAAGAAGCCUCGGCUAACUCCGUGCCAGCAGCCGCGGUAAGACGGAGGAGGCUAGCGUUGUUCGGAAUUACUGGGCGUAAAGCGUGCGCAGGUUGUGAGUUCAGUUGGAUGUGAAAGCCCGGGGCUUAACCUCGGAUGUGCAUCCAAUACUGGCUCGCUGGAGGUUGGAAGAGGAGAGUGGAAUUCCCAGUGUAGAGGUGAAAUUCGUAGAUAUUGGGAAGAACACCAGUGGCGAAGGCGGCUCUCUGGUCCAUACCUGACACUCAUGCACGAAAGCGUGGGGAGCAAACA